Long non-coding RNA from Musa acuminata AAA Group (dessert banana), 3494 nucleotides. RefSeq lists it as uncharacterized. NCBI's taxonomy places the organism in Eukaryota, Viridiplantae, Streptophyta, Magnoliopsida, Zingiberales, Musaceae. The transcript is spliced from 4 exons. The record is from RefSeq and is a predicted model, not a curated record.
AGCGUUUGCGUUCGUAUGUGAGGAGGGCGAGAGAGAGGCCGCGACGGCUCUGGAAGCGGCGGAUGGAUCUGUGAGGAGAUGAUGAACCAAGCGAUCUCUGAUAUCCGUGAUGCAUUCCACGAUAGUUUUCAAUCUGAGAUCCGCAAUCCGUUGCUCGAGCUGUGCGCCCUCCUCUCCUCUCCUCGGCCUGGUGAUGGAACUUUUGAGUAUUCUCUCUGAAGGCCGCUCCUUGUUCGCCUAUUUCUCCCCUAUGAGUUGUCGAGCUCCGGUCAUGUUUCUGAUGCCUGGAAACCCUAGUUUUUUCUUCUAUUUUGCUAUCUCGUUUUCUCGUAUCUUGCUUAUUGCUCUGUUUUUGUGGUUCGAACUAGGGAUUGCAUUAUGUUGGAGAUUAAUUUGAACCUUCUUUUGGUCUUUGUUGUCUGAAAAACCUAGUUAGUUACUUGCAGAGUCUAGAAGUGACUCCGAGAUUGUAAUCGGUCGUCACUACCCCAAAUUUUGUGUUAUUUCUUGGAUUUUUCCCCAUUUUGUACGGUUCUCUUCUUAUUGUUGGAUUUAAAGUUCUAUUUGUUUGUAUUAUUCUUAAUGUUUCAGAGUUUUGGUGGCUUUAUACCGCCUCUUUUGACAGCUAUACGAUAUGUAGAUUCUAUUCUUAAUGUUUGAAAGUAUUGUUGGCUUUGAUUUUGAUACUCUGUGCUUUCGUUUGGGUUUAAAAGUCCAAGUUCUUUACUGAGAUUUAAAUGAGAAAUCAAAGUUCGUGAAACAAUAAAUGGAUUUUGCUAGACAUCAUGGAAAAAGCUGCUGUACAGAUUCAAUUUUUCUUGCUUUACUUUCCAUGAAGUGCCUAACAAAUGGUGUAAGUAUCUUCAGAUGUCCCUAUAUGAGACUUAGUGAAACACAAGUGGAUAUGGAAUACUUUUGUAGGGAGCUGCAAAUUUGACUUGGGACUUCGCAUGCCUUAUGAUUUGGAAAGUUAUGGCAUAUGCUGUUUCUGCUACUAAUACCACUAGCUACUGCUGUAUUAUUUUGACCAAAACAUGGUUAUCCAACAGUUCAAGAAUUUUUAUGUCUCAAGUAUCUGUUAAUUUUAAUAUAAAUAACUUCUUUGUUUUAAUGUCACCAGAAGACCAUAAUCUGUACAUAUGCUCACUAUUCUAUGUUAAUCCUGUCCUUAAGAAUAUAGAUAUGUCAUUCCUUCUGAUAAAGAAUUCAUUUUUAGUUGUGCUUUCAUAUGUAUUGGGGUCAAACUUUGUAAAGCUGUGCCUAUGAAAUGCGAAGCCCAAGAUUCGGUGAUUUUUAGAAUUGUGAUGCUACUCAGCACUUUUUUUUUCGGUUAUAUUGAUGCCUCUAUAGCAGACACUUGCUUUCAGUGGCAUAUGGUAGCACCAGCGCCCAUGGACAUGCAAGUUUAUAACUUUCUAGGUGCCAGAGAUUUUGUGAAUAUGGUCGUGAUGGUUGGAUUUGAGUACCUUCUGGUCAGUGACAUUGAUGUAUGUGGUUCUAUUUGCUUAUGACAUAUCUAGUAUAUAGUUCUAUUUGUGUUGUUUGACUGAUCUUGCAAAGCUACUUUCAUCCUGUGUGGAAGUAGUAACAUUUUUAGUUUAUAGUAAUCUCAAGAUCAGUGCAGGUUUUUCAACUUGGCGUAUAUGUUCUUCAUUAGUUCUUAUACUUCCUUUUUGUUUACACUUUUUUUUUCUUGUUUAAGAUUUUGUUGAUUUACCAGCGAAAAGCUUGCCCGAGUUCAUUCAUCAACAACUCCUUUAUAUUACUUAACUUUUGAAGUGCCUAGCCUUAAUAUUAGAGAUGCACCCAAUUUAUGAUUCAUACCUUUGAGCAUGAUAUAUAGCUCAUUUAGAUGCUAUUCAACUAAUGCAACAUGGUGAUCAGGUGUGGUGCACCUGUUGAUUUUUCAUGGCUGCAACAUGCUAUGACUUGAGAAAAAGGAAAACUAGGAAUCUAUGUGCUUACAAGUGAAAUGUGAUGCAAAUUGCUAUACAACCUUUCUUUGUUUUUUACUCAGUCGCAACUUGAUGCAUAAGACCUUGAGCAAUAGACCUGUAUAACUCAAUUUUAAGAAUGAUAUUUUCAAUUGUAAGAAAUCAUACAUCAAGAAAAUGGUGGGACUUUCAACCAUGGUCCCUCUUGUAAGGACAGUGCAGUAGUAGUUGGCUGAAUCCAUUGAGAGUCAAGCCGCCAUCGGAUAUCAGACCAUAUAGAUUGAUUUUGGCAAUAUUUCUCUCUUUUAUAUUUGGUGAUACUGGAUUGGGCCAAGCAGAUUUCCAAAACAAGGUUUAAAACCUUGAUUUGAAAUGGUUCUGUAAGAUAGAAGUUUGUGUUGUUUGCAUUGCAGAAAAUGCCCCGGCAAUAUCCUCCUGCAUCUCAUUGUGUCUAGUAGGCCCGAUCAUAUGUUUUGAAUAGCUCAUAUUUUAUGGCACUUGAUAUGAUGUCUGUAAUGGAUGGUUAAAUCGAGGAUAACCAGGAAAAGUAUGUCUAAAAGUCAACACGGUGGGGCUGAUCCAGGAAAAGCAAACGAUAAGUUUUGUAUUCUGUUGUAGCUGUGAAAAGUGGAUGCGGCUGAGACCAAUUAGGUUGGCGUUGCUGUGCCGAUUGCAGUCGACAUCAAGAGGGAGUAGCAUCUACCAGAAAUCUUUGUCUCUAUUGGGCAAAGAUGGAUUCACAGCGUGCCUUUGUUCCCCUACAUGCAUUACAGGACUGCAGGAGAUGAUGGAGACGACUCGAGGCAGGCCGUGCUUCUGCCGAGCCCGCAAAGGGGCACCGUCGCCUCCAUUUCAGAAAUCGUGUUCUUGCUCAACUGUUUCAUUUGUCCUUCCAAUUGGGUAUAUGAUCUGUAAAUGAUGGCUAUCUGUGACCAAGCAGUUGCCAUAAUUGCUCUAAUCAUGGAGCUCAAGACAAUCGCGUCGUGGAAUCCACUUCCAAAUAAUUCGACAAGAGAAUUUACAUCAGGUCCGGAGGAACUCUCAGAUCAAAUUUGGCAGCGGCCAACACCCGACCCAUGCGACAAAUCACCUGUCAUCCCGGUACGAGACAAGCACUCCGCUGCGCCAACCACAAUAAAUGCAGGGAGACCGAGAUGAGAAAAGACAGAGAGAGAGAGAGAGAGGAAUCUCAUCGUCGCGGACGGUGACAACAUGAUAUGAGAGGAGGUGGGGAGGUCAGAGGGGGCACUGUCCCUCCCCACGUGUCUGGCGUCGUACGGGUCUGAUCGGAGAUGUACGCCCGCCUCCCGGUGGCUUUGAUGGGCGCGCAGCAGCGGUGGCGAAGCCUGUACGUAGCAUACGGUGUACACCUCCGCUUGAUGCACACCACCUGUUCGCUCCGUGACCGCGCAGAAACCGGCACCAAUCGAUGCCCCGUUACUUCCCACCAGAUGGGUUGCUGCGGCGGCUGACCUUUUCCUGAGGAGUUGGAGGUCUCAGUGCCCGCACGUUUCCUCAUCAUGAUAACCUGCAGAUCUCCAUAUCAGUUCAUAGCUCGUC